UCCACCAGUACACCUGGCGCCUUGCGGA
This 28-nucleotide small RNA is filed under the name Bombyx mori (domestic silkworm). RNAcentral describes it as "ovarian small RNA-26642". The record is from RNAcentral. Lineage: Eukaryota; Metazoa; Arthropoda; Insecta; Lepidoptera; Bombycidae.